RNAcentral lists this ribosomal RNA (232 nucleotides) under uncultured bacterium. RNAcentral's name for it is "partial 16S ribosomal RNA". It matches the Rfam family "Bacterial small subunit ribosomal RNA", at positions 99 to 334 of the family's 1533-position model. The record is from RNAcentral.
CGGACGGGCGAGUAAUGUCUGGGAAACUGCCUGAUGGAGGGGGAUAACUACUGGAAACGGUAGCUAAUACCGCAUAACGUCGCAAGACCAAAGAGGGGGACCUUCGGGCCUCUUGCCAUCGGAUGUGCCCAGAUGGGAUUAGCUAGUAGGUGGGGUAACGGCUCACCUAGGCGACGAUCCCUAGCUGGUCUGAGAGGAUGACCAGCCACACUGGAACUGAGACACGGUCCAG